AUUGAACGCUGGCGGCAGGCUUAACACAUGCAAGUCGAGCGGGGUGAUGGUGCUUGCACUAUCACUUAGCGGCGGACGGGAGAGUAAUGCUUAGGAAUCUGCCUAUUAGUGGGGGACAACAUCUCGAAAGGGAUGCUAAUACCGCAUACGUCCUACGGGAGAAAGCAGGGGAUCACUUGUGACCUUGCGCUAAUAGAUGAGCCUAAGUCGGAUUAGCUAGUUGGUGGGGUAAAGGCCUACCAAGGCGACGAUCUGUAGCGGGUCUGAGAGGAUGAUCCGCCACACUGGGACUGAGAGACGGCCCAGACUCCUACGGGAGGCAGCAGUGGGGAAUAUUGGACAAUGGGGGGAACCCUGAUCCAGCCAUGCCGCGUGUGUGAAGAAGGCCUUAUGGUUGUAAAGCACUUUAAGCGAGGAGGAGGCUCUUUUGGUUAAUACCCAAGAUGAGUGGACGUUACUCGCAGAAUAAGCACCGGCUAACUCUGUGCCAGCAGCCGCAGUAA
Molecule: ribosomal RNA, 503 nt
Filed under: uncultured bacterium
Lineage: Bacteria
Description: partial 16S ribosomal RNA
Rfam family: Bacterial small subunit ribosomal RNA
Source: RNAcentral